CGGCCCUGGAGCGCCUAGCGCAGAGCAAAGCAAGGUCGAUGAUGGAAAUCGACCGCAUGGUGGUGCUAAUACCCUCAGGAUGCGAGGCUGUCGAGGCUGUCUCCUACCAGACAGAAACCGAGGUCCAAGGAAGAGGAGGGGAGAGUUUCGGAGCCAAAUGUUUUUCCUCCAGCUAGACUUUACACCCGAUGAUGGUGUAGCUUAGACCCCGAGGUUAUGGUGUGUGUAGUUCCAGCAUGACGACGCCCCGACAACCCUUCGACAGCCACGUUUGAAAUAACCACAGCUUUAAAUUUAAACCGUCCCAUCCUUUAUUCUCAUCCCCUGCCUUUGCCCAAACAACAUCCAUUGGCUAGGUGCGGCUACAGAGGUUCGUGGCCGUACCCAGCUUGCGGCAGUAGCAAAAGGCAUUGAAGAAGCGGCA
Mus caroli (Ryukyu mouse) is the source of this 424-nucleotide non-coding RNA. The record is from RefSeq and is a predicted model, not a curated record. NCBI's taxonomy places the organism in Eukaryota, Metazoa, Chordata, Mammalia, Rodentia, Muridae.